GCCUCAAUAGCUUAGAUGGUAGAGCAUAGAACUGAAGCUUCUAACGGAUGGUUCGAUUCCAGUUUGAGGCA
Molecule: transfer RNA, 71 nt
Filed under: Melanopsichium pennsylvanicum
Lineage: Eukaryota; Fungi; Basidiomycota; Ustilaginomycetes; Ustilaginales
Description: transfer RNA-Phe(GAA)
Rfam family: tRNA
About the family: Transfer RNA (tRNA) molecules are approximately 80 nucleotides in length.
Source: RNAcentral